GCCCACUUGGCGCAGUGGUACCGCGUAGCACUCGUAAUGCUAAGAUCACUGGUUCGAUUCCAGUAGUGGGCA
This 72-nucleotide transfer RNA is filed under the name Sclerotinia sclerotiorum 1980 UF-70. RNAcentral's name for it is "tRNA-Thr (CGT) (tRNA-Thr-CGT-1-1)". It matches the Rfam family "tRNA". From Rfam's summary of the family: Transfer RNA (tRNA) molecules are approximately 80 nucleotides in length. Their secondary structure includes four short double-helical elements and three loops (D, anti-codon, and T loops). Lineage: Eukaryota; Fungi; Ascomycota; Leotiomycetes; Helotiales; Sclerotiniaceae. The record is from RNAcentral.